AACGAACGCUGGCGGCAUGCCUAACACAUGCAAGUCGAACGAGACCUUCGGGUCUAGUGGCGCACGGGUGCGUAACGCGUGGGAACCUGCCCUUAGGUUCGGAAUAACUCCCCGAAAGGGGUGCUAAUACCGGAUAAUGUCUUCGGACCAAAGAUUUAUCGCCUUUGGAUGGGCCCGCGUUGGAUUAGCUAGUUGGUAGGGUAAAAGCCUACCAAGGCGACGAUCCAUAGCUGGUCUGAGAGGAUGAUCAGCCACACUGGGACUGCGACACGGCCCAGACUCCUACGGGAGGCAGCAGUGGGGAAUAUUGGACAAUGGGCGAAAGCCUGAUACAGCAAUGCCGCGUGAGUGAUGAAGGCCGUAGGGUUGUAAAGCUCUUUUACCCGGGAUGAUAAUGACAGUACCGGGAGAAUAAGCACCGGCUAACUACGUG
Molecule: ribosomal RNA, 433 nt
Filed under: uncultured bacterium
Lineage: Bacteria
Description: partial 16S ribosomal RNA
Rfam family: Bacterial small subunit ribosomal RNA
Source: RNAcentral